UCAAUAAUAAUAGUUGACCAAUUAAGCGACUGCUUCGGUCGCAAAAUAAAAAUUAAAAUGGUAAAAGAAUAUUUUAGAGGUUUUUGUGACCGCGAUUGUAUUUUAAUGGUGAGAAAGGUAAAUCUAAUAUUUUAGGCCAAAACCCUAUUUCGGCCAUAUUUCCCCAAUUUCCUCUAUCUCUAUCUCUUUAUCAAUAUUUGUUUUUUCUUCUGCAAUUUCUCUUCCAUUCAACCAUUAUUGUUGUUGACGGAGGCAAACGGCGGAUGGCAAUUUUCGGCUAACGGCAUAAAUUUUAAGCCUAUUCUUCGACUCUUGAAGACCAAUUCCGCUCCAAUUUCUCUUCCACUCCUCUUUUCGGUUUGUUUCUGUCUCUGUCUCACUUUUUAUUUCCUAGAUAUUUUUUAUUUUAAGCAUUAUCCUAAACUGAAAAAGACAUCUUAUAGAUGAAAGGAGAACGAAUUUCCUCAUGCAGUAGUGAAAAUUUAUCCUUUUAAUAGCUCAAAUAACAAAAUAGGUUUCAAUAGCUUGAGAGAUCCGGAAUUUGUUCGUUUCUAUAGCUAUAUUUUUCAACACCUAUAAAGAAAAGUAAAUAUUAUACAUAUACUCCUUUGGUCUAAAGGUUUUGGCGUGAUAGCAGACCUUGAAAUUCGAACGGAGGAAUUGCACACUUUCUCUUUAAGAAACUGAAAACCAAAUUAAACCUCGUUAGUGUAAAUGUUUUGCUUAUAUUUCCGUUCAGUUCUGUUAAGAGGAGGCUUUGAACUUUUAUACAUUUUAAUUGAAAGGAUGAGGAAUUGUGGGGAAUUAAGGGGUUGAAUAUGGGAAAGGGAUCAAUUAUGGGGAAGUUGUAAUAAAUAUUUGCAUUGAUAUUCAGAGAGAUUUUUCUGAGAGCCUUAAAAGCAAUGAACUAGUUGAUCAACUAAGAAAAUUGUGAUGUAAUUUGCCUCUUUAACUUUGAGGUAGAGCCAAUAACUAAUCUACAGAAGAAUUGUAGACCGCAAACCUAGAUUAGAGUUUAUUGGUUUGAGACUUAAGAUUAAAAUUUUUUAACUCUGGUUCUUUUUCACUGCAAUAAUUUGAAUAGUUCUUUCUCAAUCUUGCUUCACUUAUCUAUUUGUUUGUUUAUUCUUUUUGGAUGGGCUGACAAAUUUUUUGAAUAUUCUAGGAUGGCCACAAAAUAUAUUUUUGCCAUUGAAAGAAUCAAGUUUUUUAUAGCAAACUGUUUGGCAUAAUACUAAGUAAUAUAUAUUGUUUUAAAAAUCUUGGAUUUAUUUCGUGUAGAUGGAGCUUUCACAUCGUAGAUGGAUAUAUAGUCUGACUUAUCCUAAUCAUAGUGGGUCGAGGGAGGAAUUUAUAGAAGGGGUUGCUGAAUUUAUGGCUAAAGCGAAAACACUUCAUAAAUUUCUCAGUGAAGGGGUGCUUAGGUGCCAUUGUGUGAACUGCAAGUGUGAAAAGUUAUUGCAACCAGAUAUUGUUAAAAUUCAUCUUUAUAAAAAAGGGUUUAUGAAAAAUUAUUACGUGUGGACUAUUCAUGGAGAGGAUGGUGCUAGUGUUGGUGAUGUCGAUUUUCAAAAUUGUUUUGGUAGUGAGGGUAGUCCUUUAGCACAGAAUAAUGAUGAAAAUUCUAGAUUCAAUGAAAUGGUUAGGGAUGCUUUUGUGAUGCACCUGGGGGCUCAGUCUGAACCAAAUGAUGAUGCUGAGCGCUUCUAUGAAUAGUUAUAGGAAGCUAGUCGUCCAUUGUAUAAUAGCUCAAUGCAUUCUUAGUUGUCUGUUGCGGUUCGAUUAUUAAGUAUUAAAUUGGAUUCGAGUAUUUUUAAAGCGGGCAUGGACUCUAUCAUUGGCCUUAUGAAUGAACUUAGUCCAAAUAAAAUUGACCUACCCAAAGAUUUCUACACAGGAAAGAAAUUGGUUUCUAAGCUAGGACUUUCAUCAGAGAGGAUUGAACUAUUGUGAGAAAGGUUGCAUGUUAUUCUAUAAGGAUGAUGCAGCUUUAGAAAAUUAUAAAUUUUGUAACCAACCUCGUUACAAGGAAGUCACAAAUUCCAAAAAAAGAAUAAGGUUCCAGGUGAUGCAUUACUUACCCCUUAUACCUAGGUUUAAGAGGUUGUAUGCAUCAAUGAGCUCUGCUCCUCAUAUGAGAUGACACUGUUAAAAUAGACGGCCACCUGGUAUUUUAUGUCAUCAAUCAGAUAGAGAAGCAUGGAAGCAUUUUGAUAAGGUAUUUUCGGAUUUUGCUAAUGAAACAAGAAACAUUAGCUUGGGUUUAUGUGCAGAUGGAUUCACUCCAUUUUUUAUCUAUGUUGCACCAUAUUCAUGUUGGCCGGUGGUUGUUACGCCGCAUAAUCUUCCUUCUGAGUUGUAUAUGACAAGUCCAUAAUUGUUCCUAACCUGUAUUAUUCGAGGUCUAGGCAAUCCGAAAAGUUCGAUUGAUGUAUACAUUCAACCUUUAAUGCAUGAGUUAAAGUCAUUGUGGCAUGAGGGUGUGGAAACAUAUGAUAUAUUAACUAAACAAAACUUCAGAUUGCGUGCUACUUUGAUGUGGGCUAUAAAUUAUUUUUCUGCUUAUUGAAUAUUGUCCGAGUGGUCGACUGCAGGAAAGUUAGUUUGCCCAACUUGUAUGGAAGACACAAAAGCAUUCAUAUUGAAACAUGGAAGAAAGAACACAUGAUUUGAUUGCCAUCGUCGAUUAUUGCAUAGGGAUCACGAGUUUAGGAGAAAUACUAGUGCCUUUAUGAAGAACCAAACUGAUUUUGAAUAGCCACCAUCAACAUUGUCGCCAAAAGAAAUUUGGAACAAAGUUAGGUUUCUACCUAAGAUAACAGAGUCUCCUAUAUCUUAUAAGAUACCUAGUUAUGGUGUUACGCAUAAUUGGACCAAAUAGAGCAUAUUCUGGAAGUUACCAUAUUGGAAGCAUAACAUUCUUUUGCAUAAUCUGGAUGUCAUGCAUAUCGAGAAAAACUUUUUUGACAACAUAUUUAAUACCGUAAUGGAUGUUAAUAACAAGACAAAAGAUAACUUGAAGGCUAGGAUGGACUUAAAGGAAUAUUGUAGGCGAAGUGAGUUGUACCUGACAUACUUGAACAACAAGAUUCAGAAGCCCAAGGCCAGUUACACAUUCACUUUGGAUGAGAGAAUAGAUAUUUGUGAUUGGGUUAAGAAUUUAAGUAUGCCUGAUGGAUAUGCGUCAAACUUAUCUAGGUUUGUUGACAUGAAAGAAGGGAAGUUGACGUCUAUGAAGAGCAAGCGAUUGUCACAUUUUCCUUGAAUCAUUGAUUCCUAUUGCAUUCAAAGCAUUGCAUGAUAGAAUAUGGAAACCCAUUACUGAGAUAAGUUUAUUUUUCAAGGAGUUGUGUUCCAGCACAUUGAAGGUGGAGAACUUAGCUUAAAUGGAGAGUAACAUUUGCUUAACUUUAAACAAGCUGGAAAAAAAAAAUUCUCUUGAUUUUUUUGAUGUAAUGGAACAUCUUCCAAUUCAUCUUGCGCAAGAGGCACGACUUGGAUGGCUCGUUCAGUGUAGAUGGAUGUAUCCUUACGAAAGGUAAUGAUUUUAAAUUAUUUUCCCUUGAUGUGUUUUAAUUAAACGUUAUUUCAUCUAAAAAUUGUGAUAUGCAGGACUAUUGGAAAAUAUAAGUAGACCAUGAAAAAUAGAUCCAGGAUUGAUGGAUCGAUAUGCAAGGCACAUCUAGCUAAAGAAAUUUUUUUUUACUGUUCAUAUUAUUUUUAACAUGAUGUGACAUGUUUUAGAAAUAGGCCAAAUCGACAUGAUGAUGGAGGUGUUACUUAUCCUUUUGCACCACCAUUUUUCAAAUUCAAUCUACCAGGUAGAGGUCCAAAAACUAGUAAAAAGCAAAAUUCGACAUAGAUGGAGAAAAAGUCCGCUACAACACAUGUCUUGUUGAAUUGUCCAUGUUACACCCAAUAUUUUCGUACGUGAGAGUACAUCAUAAGUCAAUUGAUGUAAGCUCAUAAAUGAGAUCAUCUUUGAAAGUACAUAAAGUAAGUUAAUAAAGUAAGUUAAUCAUGUUAUCUUGGAGGUUACAAAUCUUUAAGAUCUUGGAUAACAACUACCAAGUGGGUUGAAAGGCUUAGGAGCUAAGCAAAUUGAAGAAAAUAAGUUUCGUCGAAUGUCAACAAGUUAGGAAUGUUAUAACAUGUACUUUUGGGGUGAUACUAGGGUUCUUAACAUGAUAAGGAGGUUAUGUUAUGAGCUAUUUUAGUCGUAUGAUAGUCGUGUAUUACAUUUUGAAGUCAAGCGAGUUUUGGAACGAAAGUUGGCAAAAAGUCAUCACAAGUUACAUUCAUAAUGUGUUGAAUAUUAGGUCAAAUGCAGCAGAGUUUUUCUCCUAAUAUAUUUCGAAUUACAGGAUGACCCACAUAUCAAAUUGAAGAUCUACAAGUCUAUUUUCUAACUCAUUAAACCAUUUUUCGAUACAACAUUGGAGCAGAGAAAUAUUUGUAGUUUUGCGAGACUGCGCAGACUGCAUAGGUGACAAGUAGGUCGGUCACUAAAGCUUUUUGAGAAAUACCUUUCGUGUGUUAUGUGAGGUCUUUUUGGGACAUAUUAUAUACCAAAUUGAAGGUCUUGGAAUGUAGUUUCCAACUCUUUUAACCGUUCAUUCAUACUACAUACGAAUAAAAUGAUAUAAGUGUUGGAAGAAAGGCUAAUGCUAGGGUGCCAAGUAGCACCUUUUUGACUUUUCAACAAAUUGGAAAUUUAUAUCCCUUAUGUCGUCUCUUUCUUAAUAUUUCCAGAGAAAAUGACCAAAUAAGACCCAUAAACUUACCCUUAAGCUCUCUAUAAGGGUUUCAAAGAAGAUUAACAUCCCGGGUACGAAAUCAAAAGGCGAUGACAUUAGAACGAUCCCUACGACGUAAGUAUCUCUAUAUCGCCUCUCUGUUUCUUUGUAGUUUGAGUUUUGGAAGGUAUUUAAUAGUUAAUAAAAUACCUACUUUCUGUAUUUAAGAUUUUAAAUAUCAAGAAAGGUUGAUAAAUUCGUUUCCUAAUAGAUAGAACUCACGGGACGGUGAUCGAAAGCUGUGAGUUCGAGUUAUUCGACUUGUAGUGGACUGUUUUGUGGGAUGUUUCGUGUUGUUAUUGGGCUGUAUAUUUUGCUACUUUUUAAUGAAGUUUUUGAAGAGAAAUUGUGUGGAGAAACACCACAUAAUGGCGAAAUAGUGGAUUAGUCGCUCUUUGCAACUUUUUCGGGGUGUUUGACACUACUAUAGUUGUCGUCUUGGGAAUGAAGUGAUUGGGUGUGUUGGGCUGUUGUAUGCUAAAUAUAACAUGGAUUUCUACUUGAAUCCACGGUAGGUGGAAAUUAUAUUGUGUUCUUGCAUGUUCUUAAGGUUAUCUUGAUGUUAAUUAAGUUAAAUAGAUGGGCUAGGCAUGGACUAGUGAAUAAAGUUGCUAAUUGAGGUUAGUUAGAGUUAUGGAUUAUUUUAUUCAUAAUAUAUAUAUGGUAUAAGACUGGAAUCAUUGAUGAAUGACUUCAUUAUCAUGUUAAUGAUACUUCCUAAGUCAAAUUAAGAAGUCUAUAAGGGGUGAUAUGGGGUAUACAGGUUUCAAUCGGAGCUUGCCGCUCGUCGUGAAGUAGUUGGGACUUGUUAUUGUUAUAUGGUGUCUUGUUAUUGAUAAUUAUGUAUUGCUGGAUUGCUAUAGUAAUUGUUGUUGGUAUAUGGUAUUGGAGGAGUCUCUUGUUACAGGGGAGAUGCUGUCCAAAUUUACAUAAAUGAGUUACUAGUUUAAGUAACUGACUUAACCUUUACUCCGCACACUGAUUUUGAAUCUCCUUAUGCUAUGGUAGAUUGAGUUGAGUUGUUUGAAGAAUUGCUUGUAAGGUAUUAAGGACUCAAUAGAGCUAAGGUUUGUUAAGGCUAUCCCUUCUUUCCUUUUGGCUUGAUCCAUAUGAUGCAACGAAACGAGCAAGCACGCAACUUUCACAAAUGAUUCUAUUCUUAGAAGUACUAGGGGUGCCUAUGUUCUUGAUUCCCCAUGUGUCCUACUAUUCUAUCGUCUGUUCAUGGGUCUCAAAAAAUACGUAAGUUGAUAAAGUUUAUUUCAUGAUAUUUACCGAAGGCAUAUUGAUCUCAUGAUAUUCCGGGAGAUCUUAUUGACUUACUUUAUUAUGCAUUGCAUUCAUUUAUACAUGUAUAUUGACCCAUGAUCAGAUGGUGUUAUAUACGCCUAUAGUAUAUGUAUAUGGGGUAUGGGGAAAGGUUAUGGCGUUAUAUACACACCACCACCUGAUCAACUAGUCUACGUUAAUUAUUUCUCCCACAGAGGCCUAGAUGAUAUGAUGGGGUGCCCUCAGGGGUUAUGUACGUACAUACCUAUGCAUGAUGUGACAUUUAUAUGCAUAUGCAUGACUUUAUAAAUGUUUCAUGAUUCACAGAGCUAUUCAGACUUACAGGUUGAGUUAUUUACUCUGUGUUUCUUUCAUGUCUUUUAUAUACUGCUUUCAUGCCUUACAUACUUGGUACUUUAUUUGUACUGACGUAUCUUUUGCCUGGGGACACUGCGUUUCAUGCCUGCAGGUCCUGAUAGGCAGGUUUAGAGUCCUGCUAGUAGGCUAUCAGCUUAUCGGAAGGUGUUGGUGCACUCCACUUGCUCCGAAGUUACCUAUUUGGUCAGUAUGAUUUGGACAUGUAUUAAUUGGUAUGGCGGGACCCUAUCCCGACCUUUAUGAUAUUUACGUACUCUUAGAGGCUUGUAGACAGAUGUCAUGUUUAUGGAUACUUAUAUGGCCUUGUCGGCCUACGUUUUUUGUGUACAAAUGAUCAUAUCGGCCUUAUAGGCCCGUAUGUCACAUGUAUAAAAUUCUAUAACAUGUUGGGUCAUCCUAUGUCUAGUAUUCCCUUAUGUUUUAUUCUGGUUAUCUCAUGACGUCACUUCUGACCCAUUUACCCAUGAUGGUAUGAUGAGGAGAUAUGUUACAUUGGUGCUCGGUUAGGUAAGGCACUGGGUGCCCGUCGCGGCCUAUCGAUUUGGGUCGUGACAGUUCAGAGAUCCAACCCUAUUAUAAGUAAGUCUUAAUUUAUAUUAAAGACGAUUAUCACAAGAUCAAGGUUAUUUUAACUAAUGAAAGUUGUAAUUUUGUCGGGCGGUUACUUUAUAGGUGUAAAUGUGCCUGAUGCUAUUUAUCCAUGAUUUUCAGAGUGGUUUAAGGAGUUUCUAAGUUUUAUU
Molecule: long non-coding RNA, 7183 nt
Filed under: Nicotiana tabacum (common tobacco)
Lineage: Eukaryota; Viridiplantae; Streptophyta; Magnoliopsida; Solanales; Solanaceae
Description: long non-coding RNA (NTAB_LNC009309)
Source: RNAcentral